This 568-nucleotide ribosomal RNA is filed under the name Adenomera andreae (lowland tropical bullfrog). RNAcentral's name for it is "partial 16S ribosomal RNA". It matches the Rfam family "Bacterial large subunit ribosomal RNA", at positions 1817 to 2598 of the family's 2925-position model. The record is from RNAcentral. Lineage: Eukaryota; Metazoa; Chordata; Amphibia; Anura; Leptodactylidae.
CGCCUCUUGCCUCAAAUAAGAGGUCCAGCCUGCCCAGUGACACUGUUCAACGGCCGCGGUAUCCUAACCGUGCGAAGGUAGCGUAAUCACUUGUUCUUUAAAUGAGGACUAGUAUGAAAGGCACCACGAGAGUCAUACUGUCUCCUUUUUCCAAUCAGUUAAACUAAUCCCCCCGUGAAGAAGCGGGAAUAAUUCUAUAAGACGAGAAGACCCUAUGGAGCUUUAAACAAAUAACACUUGCCUACCCUUCCCUUUAAUUUCAGAAAAAUUUUUCACUUUGGCACCAUACUUAUAAGUUUUUGAUUGGGGUGAUCACGGAACAAAAAACAACCUCCGCAAUGAAAGACAUUCCCCUAACUAAGUUAAGAGCUACAACUCUAUACAUCAACAAAUUGACCCUAAUUGACCCAAUAUAUUGAUCAAUGAACCAAGUUACCCUAGGGAUAACAGCGCAAUCUACUUCAAGAGCUCCUAUCGACAAGUGGGUUUACGACCUCGAUGUUGGAUCAGGGUAUCCUAAUGGUGCAGCCGCUAUUAAAGGUUCGUUUGUUCAACGAUUAAAACCCUA